GACGAACGCUGGCGGCGUGCUUAACACAUGCAAGUCGAACGAUGAAGCCGGAGCUUGCUCUGGUGAAUUAGUGGCGAACGGGUGAGUAACACGUGAGUAACCUGCCCUUGACUCUGGGAUAACUGCGGGAAACUGUAGCUAAUACCGGAUACGACCCUCGGAGGCAUCUCCUGGGGGUGGAAAGAAUUUCGGUCAAGGAUGGACUCGCGGCCUAUCAGCUAGUUGGUGAGGUAAAGGCUCACCAAGGCGACGACGGGUAGCCGGCCUGAGAGGGUAACCGGCCACAAUGGGACUGAGACACGGCCCAGACUCCUACGGGAGGCAGCAGUGGGGAAUAUUGCACAAUGGGCGCAAGCCUGAUGCAGCAGCGCCGCGUGAGGGAUGACGGCCUUCGGGUUGUAAACCGCUUUUAGCAGGGAAGAAGCGAAAGUGACGGUACCUGCAGAAAAAGCACCGGCUAACUACGUGCCAGCAGCCGCCGUAA
Molecule: ribosomal RNA, 484 nt
Filed under: uncultured bacterium
Lineage: Bacteria
Description: partial 16S ribosomal RNA
Rfam family: Bacterial small subunit ribosomal RNA
Source: RNAcentral